AGCGAACGCUGGCGGCAGGCCUAACACAUGCAAGUCGAACGAACCUUUCGGGGUUAGUGGCGGACGGGUGAGUAACACGUGGGAACGUGCCUUUAGGUUCGGAAUAACUCAGGGAAACUUGUGCUAAUACCGAAUGUGCCCUUCGGGGGAAAGAUUAAUCGCCUUUAGAGCGGCCCGCGUCUGAUUAGCUAGUUGGUUGAGGUAAUGGCUCACCAAGGCGACGAUCAGUAGCUGGUCUGGGAGGAUGAUCAGCCACAUUGGAGCUGAGACACGGCCCAAACUCCUACGGGAGGCAGCAGUGGGGAAUCUUGCGCGAUGGGCGAAAGCCUGACGCAGCCAUGCCGCGUGAAUGAUGAAGGUCUUAGGAUUGUAAAAUUCUUUCACCGGGGACGAUAAUGACGGUACCCGGAGAAGAAGCCCCGGCUAACUUCGUG
RNAcentral lists this ribosomal RNA (434 nucleotides) under uncultured bacterium. RNAcentral's name for it is "partial 16S ribosomal RNA". It matches the Rfam family "Bacterial small subunit ribosomal RNA", at positions 29 to 507 of the family's 1533-position model. The record is from RNAcentral.